Molecule: ribosomal RNA, 247 nt
Filed under: Aspergillus fischeri var. fischeri
Lineage: Eukaryota; Fungi; Ascomycota; Eurotiomycetes; Eurotiales; Aspergillaceae
Description: partial large subunit ribosomal RNA
Rfam family: Eukaryotic large subunit ribosomal RNA
Source: RNAcentral
GAGUGAUCGAAAGAUGAAAAGCACUUUGAAAAGAGAGUUAAACAGCACGUGAAAUUGUUGAAAGGGAAGCGUUUGCGACCAGACUCGCCCGCGGGGUUCAGCCGGCAUUCGUGCCGGUGUACUUCCCCGUGGGCGGGCCAGCGUCGGUUUGGGCGGCCGGUCAAAGGCCCUCGGAAUGUAUCACCCCUCGGGGUGUCUUAUAGCCGAGGGUGCAAUGCGGCCUGCCCGGACCGAGGAACGCGYUCGG